Molecule: long non-coding RNA, 10171 nt
Filed under: Capsicum annuum
Lineage: Eukaryota; Viridiplantae; Streptophyta; Magnoliopsida; Solanales; Solanaceae
Description: long non-coding RNA (CANN_LNC005652)
Source: RNAcentral
CAAAAUCUUCAUAUUAAAAAUGAAGUGCUAGCUUUAUUUUUUAUCCACGAUGUUUAUUCCUCUUUUUCUAAUGUUUUCAAAUUUGUCAAAAUGGUGAUAAAGUUCGAAUUUUUGUGGCUAAAUAGAAUUAUUUAGAUAUUUUUGAGUCAUGCAUAGUAUGAUUGUGAAACAAUAUUUUACUUUUAGAUAUGCUAAACUUUAUUCUAAUUUUCUUGCGGCAUUUGGAUUGUUAUAUGUGCUCUUUGUGAGUGUAAAGACUAGAUUCGUGUCUCUCAUUGAUUCAUAAUAUCAAAGGAGAAUCAACGAUGUCUUAGAAAUAUAAAUCAUAGGUCAUUACAUGUUUUUUUUCAUAAAAUUUUGGUUGUAAUUUAGAUGUAUGAAUUUUCAUUAAUGUCGCCUUAAUUGAAAUUAAAGAUUCUUGCUUGAAAUGUUAACCUUUAUUUUCUUUUGUUAUAUAGAUUAGUAUCUAUGUUUGUUCAAUUUUAGAAGUCACAAGUAUUUUCCUUGUUGCCUUAUCCCUUUACUUUCGCAAGCUUACGUUGUUUGUUUCUUGCAUUAAUUCAUUGAAUAUGACCUUCUUCCUUUUACCUUUAUUCAUUUUUGUAUGAACAUAAAUCAUGAGGCAUGUAAGUGGGUGUCUUUGCUUUACAUUUUAUUUGUUGACUCUCAUUCUUGUGCAAGUGUGCUUAUCAUUGUCAUUCAAAAUUGGUUCUUGAUAUUUUCUUUUGCUUUAAAAUAUGUCACUUUUAUGCCUUGAACGUAUAUUAAUUUCUUUAUAUUUUUUUUGAAUGCAAAAAAAAUCUCUCGAGUCCAAACGGAUUCCUCUCCUCUUGCAUUUCGUAAUGGGCAGUGAGGUCUACCCCUUCGAGUCAAGUUCGAAGUUUAAACCCGAGGUCCACUACAUGGCGUUCGGGUGCUAGAAGAUAGACGAAGAAGGAAAAUGGGUCAAAACCCAUUGAUGAGGUCAUUCAGACACUUGAAAAGUCUCAAUUUUUAUUAUUAUCUUCUUUUUAUUUAUUUAUUUAGUCAUUUAUUUAUUCAUUCAUUUCGGUCUCGAAUCCAAAGUUGUAUUUAAUAUAAGUGGAGCAAGACUCGAGGCAGAGGCUCGAAAAAUAGUUUAGGACAGAUGAAAUGGAUCGGAAGCCCAACUAGACUAGGACAGGUCUCGUUGAUUUGGGCUCAAUGGCUUAAAUCCUUUACUUUCUCCUCCCUUCCCCUUUUAUGUGUUUAUUUGUUUAUUAGUUUUGUUUAGACUUAGUUAAAAUCUCUACUAAAUUGCCUAAAUCUAUUUUACAGAAGUCUUUUAAAAAAAAAAUCAAAUCACUAUUUCAACAAAUUAAUCUUUUCAGAAGUUAAUCAAAAGAUGUUUUCAAACAGUCCGGAUAACCGUAAGUUAGCGGACGUUUUCGGUGCCUAACACCUUCCUAAAAUGUUAAUAGGAACCACUUAUCUAGAAUCUCCAACUUAAAAUGAUUUUUCUGUUUUGAAUCGUUUGAAGUAACUCUCUAAAGGUUUCUUAAUUCCUUUUCAAAAUUAAGUGAGGACUCUUCUCAAAAAGUCAAAAUUUCUCCGUAAAACAGAAAUGGCAACUCUGCUGGGGAUUUAUAACUAGGUUCUAACCAAAUUUUUGAUUUUGUCUUUUGAUUAACUGUUUAUGUGUUUAUAUGUUUCGAUUCUGUAAAGUUGAACUAUCGCAUCUUAUGGCAUAUUUCUGCAUUAUUUAAACUGUUUUGGGGUUUCGUGGAUGUCCCGGUCCCUGUUGUUCAAUUCCAAAAUAUGUUGGAAAUACGAACGACUUAUUAGCAAGUGAGUCUUCUAAUAGCUGUUCGUAUUUUCAAAAUCAAGUUGUCCGCUUGAUAACCAAUGUUCAAACCUACUCUAGACACCUAGGAUGGAACAAAACCAAAACCUUAUUUUAGGUAUAAGCCUAGGACGACCCAAUACCCGAGCGGGGUAUUGGGCCCAUUAGAAAACCUGCCUUGCAUCUAUUGACCCCGAGUCAAUUAUAGAUGAACCAUAUUUAUGUGUUGAAGAAAAUGUAUGCUUGUCUAAUUCAAUCCAUUAUCAUUUGGAGGUCGGAAAAAAGCUUGAUUUGCUUACUUUCGUAAGAAUAAUUGAAGCAAGUUAAGCAAGAAAUUGAUCGAUUUGGGAGGUUGCAUUUAAGGCACAGUUUAAACUCAACGGAUGUCACCAAUAUAAGAAAUGAAUGAAGCUAAGAAGGGGAAGGCUGAUAGAAGAAACACUCAAGAAUUAGUAUUUUUUAUCCCCUAUGUGGGAGCAUAUCUUCUUUCAUGUUAUUUCCCUUUCCCUAAAGAUUGUAUCCCCCUUUCGUUAUCUUUUGUAGGCAUUUAUGCCCUUUUUGUGUCUAUAAAAGAUAGGGGAUAAUGGAUUGACCUUAAGCAAGCAUAUAUUUUUUCUUCAAAAAUCGUUAGGCCCAAACCCUUGGCUCAAAAUGGUCACCUAAUUAGGAUGCACAUUUAUUACAAUAUGCUUGUGUAAUAUAACUAUUUAUGUGCUUAUACGUGUUAUGUUGAUUCGAAUCAAAGGCGAACUAAUCCAAUCCCAUUUUCCAUAAAACAUCUCUAGGCAGAAAUAUACCCCACUAUAUAAAAGUCCGACUAAAAGUACUCCAAGUCUCCCAAGUUUCUCAGAAACGUCCGUAGUCAUUCUUAAAACUUCCAAAAUGAUCGCUACCAUUUUAGGAAAGUUGACUUUAGAAUCAAAAAAGCUGUUAUAGUUUUGAACUACGGAGGGCCUGAUUUCUCCUCCGUGAGAUACGUAGGUAGUCUUUCGGCCCGGCCCAUAUCUCCAAAAGCUCUGUUUUCCUCCACUUUCUUGAUGGAAGAAGAAGAGCUGAACCUUCCCGACAAAUUCCACCUAUCCAUAUCAUUGAGUAAAAUCCUGUUCAUUGAAAUCCUCGAGUCAUCAUUAUUUCAUGGAUCAAUUCGCAUGAGAUGAGAAACAACUCUGUGUGUUUACUUCCUCCCUUAUCAUCUUACUUUACUUAUUACUAACGAAAUCUAACAUGUCAGCGUUUGAGUUGUUUUUACUUUGCAGGUAAUAGAAACUACUCUGUGUUGGCACAAAAUGACCCUACUUCACCAGAUCAAAAUGAAUAAGAGAUCCGCUUCUUGACUAUAGUUUUGUUACAGGAAAAGAAAAAUGACUAGUAGUAAAACUGGACUCUACCAAUCAUUUUUCAACCCUAUAAGUGAUAGUAUCGAGGAUGGAAUAAGGGAAAAUAUGAGGAAAGAAUUUUCCAAGACAAUCAGAAUCAUGAAAGAUUAAUUGGAGGAAACAUUAUUGAAUUGGACCUCCACUCCACUCAUGACUCAUCGCCCGUCGCAUAACAGUAACUUAAAACCUACCAUUGUGAUGUCAUGUCAAGAAACAAAAUAAUGGUAGCCCUAGAACAGUCAACAGAAGAGUCAAAGAGUUCGAGAAUCAAAGAAGCCUAAUCUAGAGGAAACCGAGGUGGUUAACUAGGAAGGCGAUGACUCCAUUGGACAUUUGAUCCUUUGUUCUAUCAAGACAAACGCAAUGCAAACUUCAUGUCAUCCAUAGAAGUACUUAUUGAUGUCCUAGGAAGAUGGUUAAGAGUAUUUUUAGGGCCAUUAUUAGUUUAUGUACGAACUACGUUUGACCUGAAUUCCCAAAAAGGGAUACGUAGGCGGUCUAUGUCGGCUUCAGUUAACCCCUUAGGAAAAUUUAUCAUUUCCUUUUAUGUACGAAUUACGUUUAACCUGAAUUCCCAAAAUGGGAUACGUAGGCGUCCUAUGUCGGCUUCGGUCAACCCUUUAGGAUACUUUAUCCUUUCCUUUUAUGUAUGAACUACGUGAUGACCUGAAUUCCCAACAAAAGAGGUACGUAGGCGGCCUAUGUCGGCUUCGGUCAACCCAUUAGAUUUUUCUAUAUAUCCUUAGCGUAGUCUUGAACUACGUUUGAACUGAUUCCUGCUUCAACGAGAUACGUAGGCACCCCAACGGCUCGGUCAUAUAAUCCCAGGAAAUGGAAACUGGGGCAAAAUUUUCGAAAAGGAAUCUCAAAAAUUCACAAGGGAAGAUCGACAUCCAACAAGGAGAAUGAAGGCCAACAAAGACUUUGGAUCUUCUCGAGAUGAUAUCAUCUCAGACUACUUUAAACUGGGGCAGAAAUUUUGAGGAGGUCCUCAAAAUUUCCACUAGUAUAUUGAAAUAUAUUUCAAAUUCCCCAGCACUAGAAGUCGAAGUUGAGAUUUGAGAAUCACCACCUGUGAUAAAGUGUAGGAAGACUGAAUCUCCAUCUUUGAUAAAACUUCUGGUAGAGAGCCUCGACAAUGCUGAAUCCCUAGCAAUCCUCCGUCAAAUGUCGGACAUUGUCAGAAUCAAGAGAAAGAUGGUCGUUGAGCUAACACAUGACAUGACUGGCGGAGAUUUUCUAAAGUUUUGCAGGAGUUUUCGAAACUAUUUUCUAAAAAAUUAAGACGACUUUAAAAAAUCUAUAUAACUCUUUUACUUAAUGAUUUCUUAGGCAUCAAUUAGGACGGGGAGUCAAGGGUGGAAGUCCCAACAUGACGGAGUACCCAAAAGAUGGCGUAGGGCAAAUGGAGAAUCGAAGAAAGUCAAAAUGGAGUAGUUUCACUCAAACUAAUCAUUUUUCUGUGGAUGCAGGGACCAAUACACAAAAAUGAGAGUCUCUUUAAAAAAUCCCCGAGCAAAUUGGGAGCCACACCAGAGCACUAAUGCUCAAGAAAAGAAUUUUUAGGUAGCCCUAAAAAUAGGUUUAAUACCCAUUUAUUGAGGACCUUUUGAAUUGUCCAUCUCAUUUCUUGAGAUCAUGGAGGACAAACAAAAGUGUCUUGUCUCUUUUACAAAUAUUGUAGUUAGAAUUUUUCUAAAACAUAUAGUCACUAGCAAAAGCAACUUUAUGCCUACUAAUCAUCUACCUUGAGUACAGGUACAUGUAGAAAGCAGGACACAGACAAACAAACUCAGGUGAAACUGUUUUCAAGAUCACCUAUGAGUUGAUAGCCUGUAGGUCAUCCGUAAGCCACAACAACAUCCUAACCAGAUAGUGUGCAAGAUCACCCAAAAAUUAAUAGUUUGGAGGUUAUCCAUAAGUCGCAACUAAAUCCUUAUCGGAGAUUAUGCGAGAUUAUCAAAUUAAUACAUCCAAGGGUUCUCUAUAAGCUGCGUCAUAUCCAAGAUCGAUUAUGUGCAGGAUUACCCAAGGACUAGCAAUUUGAGUAAUAUCUAUAAGUCAUAUUGUAUCCAAGGUCAGAUGAUGUGUAGGAACACCUAAAAGCUAGCGAUUGGAGGGAUAUCUGUAAGCCAUCUCUCAUCCAAGGUCGGAUAAUGUGCAGGAUUACCUAAAAGCUAGCAAUUCAAAGGAUAUCUUUAAGUCGCCUCGUAUCUGACAUCAAAUAAUGUGCAAGAUUAUCCAAAGAUUGACAAUUUAAGGAAAAUCUAUAAGUUGUAUCGGUACAAAAGAUGUGCAAGACUUACCUGAGAUCAUAUACAAAAAAUUUCUAUCAAUAACCGGAGAUGUUAUCAUGCCACAUACGACAAGCACUAUAGGUGACUCAAAAGGGUUGCCACUUCAGCAUAAGAUUAAGCGGUUGUAGGGACCAUUCUGCAUAAAAUGUCUUCGUUGUCCAAGAGAGACACCCAUUUUGAAGACAUAUUCAACCGAUAAAUAAGAUAAUUAUGCAACGACCAAGAGAGUUGUUGUGUCUAUUAUUGCAAGUUAUUUCCUUCCAAACAGGUACAUGAAAGGGAUGACUUUGCUUUUCAGGCAAUAACUCACGUGGAGAUAUGGUAAAGACUAUAUACCUCUUUCGUGAAUUAUGUUUAGCACUAACACUUUUUGUUUGAAACAUUAUCGAGAGCAUCCUAGAGGGUGAAAAUCUCAAAUCAAAACCACAGGUGCGGACAACUCCAGAUAGGACGCAGCAUAAUGUGGAACUCUUUCUUAGCAGCAAAACGGAACAUAGUCUAAAGAGGGACGUCAAACUCUUUAGAUGUGAGCUAAAGGAUGAUCGCCAACACCAUCCAACCAUACCCCUGUUAGAACGCAUGUUGGUAGUUUGAGAUAUUUUGGUUUCAGCUUCACAUUCGGUAUAUUUCUAAACUCAUACCGAGAGUAAACUUCUCUUUCUUUCAAUACGGGUGGCAACACACUUAGAGUUUUGGAAAUUAUGUCCAGGUAAGUUCUUGCCUAUGGAUGUAAAGGAUCCCACAUUCAUGGUUAAGAGGUUACAAGACUCUUUUCCGCAACUCGAUCAACUUGUCACGCAUUCCGAGCCAAAGAUAGUCUAAAAUAAAAGACUAUCUUUUCUAUCGAUUGAGUCAAACUACAGGCAGUCUGAUUUCCUGAGUCUCAGGGAUAUGUUGGCUCGGCACUAUGUAGAAAACUCGACUGCAUUCCAACCUUCUCCCCAAAUCCCUUCAUUUCCUACCUUUUUAGUCGUCAAAAACACCAAAAAACUGAGAUGGUGAUUUUUUUUAAAAUCGUGCCUUGAAUCAAGAUUUAUGAACUACAAGUAGCCUAAAUUCUCUUGUAACCAGAGAUAUGUAGGAAACCCGACCUGGGUUCGGCCUUGACUCUAUGAGACUCAUGCAAAAGCCAACCUCUUUCAGUUUCGAAUUUGUGAUUGGACAAAAAUUAGGAACGUCAACCUCCCUUUGCCCAGGGUUACUUGCAUCCACCCUACCCAAAAGGAGGGGGCAGUUGUUGACACCUAAUUUUUGCCCUCCACAACUAAAUUUAAUCCUGAGUUUCUUUGAUUUUUAAUAAAAUUAAAAUAUUUAUUUCAUCCGAAUAAAAAUUUAUUAAAUAUAUUUGUAUGUAAUUUUAUCAUUUUAAGUAGUGAUUAUAAUUUAUUGUAUUAAAUUAUAUGAGAUUUUAUAAUUUUGUUACUUAAAUAUUUAUUUUAUAAAAUAUUAGAUUUUAAUCAAGGCUUAGAGAUUCAAAUGAUUAAAGUUUUGAUUUAAACAUAAUUUACUCUCAAAAAAUAAUUUAUUCGGACAAAUAUGUGUUUGAUUUUAUAAAAUCAUGAAGCCCGGGAUUAAAAGAAGCAUUAAUUCGCAUCGAAUUUCAAUUUAAUUUAGUCAAUCUAUUAGAUUUGACCAUAAUUGAAAUCAAAUUCGCCACAUUAUAUUCCACCUCACCUUAUCUUCAAUUUUGAAAUUUCAAAAACACUCUUAAUUGCUUUUUCUCCCACAUUGGUGGAUGACAAGAAAUAAAUCUUCAUCCUUUACAAUAAAUACUUUUUUCCCACAUUGGUGGAAGAGAAAAAAAAAACCUCAUUCUCUCCUAUAAAUACUACCACUACUUUGGUAAAAAAGGGGGGAAAAAGGAAAAAAAAAGGCUAGAAAGGUGAAAAAAAUACUUUUUGAGCAAAAUAAUUAUUUUUAUUAAAUAAAAAUUUUUGUUUCAUAGAAUUGGUCGGCUAAUAAAAAAUUUCAAGUUGCCGGCGACGUAUUUUUGGAGGUGGUUGAUCCGACGAAGCUCGUAGUCUCGUUUUGCUGCCCCCCAAAAGGUAAACACAUCUUUAUUUUUUAGUUUUAUUUAUCGUUUUUUUCUUCAUCUUUUUUUCUUCAUAGUUCGUAGAUAUAAUUUUGUUUGCUGGGAUUGUAUGUUGUAGAUGACCUUAAAGGCCCUAGGACGUUGUGGUAUCGAUAUUCUAAUUAUUUUCAUGUUCAUGAUAUAAAAAUGAGCUAACAAUAGUUGUAUGUGUCUUUUUUUUUUUUUUACUUUAUCCUUUGAUUAUUUUGGAUAAAGUUUAAAUCUUUGCUUAAAAUAUGUAUUUAUAAUUUAUUUAAAACUCAUUGUUGUUGGAUAUAAUUAUUUUUAGCAUGUAAAUUUAUUUUCUUUACGUUGAAACGAAUAGUUAAUGUUGAAUGUUUCGUCUUUUCACCUUAUUCUUUGAUUAUUUUGGAUAAAGUUUAGAUCUUUGCUAGAAAAAUAUAAUCAUGUCUUGUUUAAACUCAUUAUUGUUGAAUAUGUUUAUUUUUAGUAUGUAAAGUUAUUUUCUUUAUGUUGAAAAGAAUAGUUAAUAUUGAUUGUUUUAUCUUUUGACCUUAUUCUUUGAUUAUUUUGGAUAAAGUUUAGAUCUUUACUUGAAAAGUCAUACCCAAGUCUUGUUUAAACUCAUUGUUGGUAGAUAUGUUUGUUUUUAGCAUGUAAAGUUAUUUUCUUUAUGUUGAAAAGAAUGAUUAAUAUUGAUUGUUUUGCCUUUUGACUUUAUUCUUUGAUUGUCAGGUAUAAAGUUUUGAUCUUUGCUCAAAAGAUAAACUUAUGUCUUGUUUAAAUUUAUUGUUGGCGGAUAUGUUUGAUUUAGCUGUAAAGUUGUUUCUUUUAUGUUGAAAAACUAGUUACUAUUGUUUGAUUCACCUUAAUAAAAAUAGUAAUUGAUUAAAUCAAGAUCUUUUCAUUAAUUGUUAAUUAUUUUAAGGGAUCUCCAAAAUCUUUAUAUAAGAGAUUAAGUGCUAAAAUUAUUUAUCAUCCACAAUGUUUAUUCCUCUUUUUAGCAUGUUUUCAAAAUUUUUAAAAUGGAUUAAAUAUUUUUCAUUUAUCGUAUUCAAUUAUACGAGAUUUUAUAAUUUUGUUACUUAAAUAUUUAUUUUAUAAAAUAUUGGAUUUUAAUCAAGGCUUAGAGAUUCAAAUGAUUAAAGUUUUGAUUUAAAUAUAAUUUACUCUCAAAAAAUAAUUUAUUCGGAUAAAUAUGUGUUUGAUUUUAUAAAAUCAAGAAGCCCGGGAUUAAAGGAAGCAUUAAUUCACAUUGAAUUUCAAUUUAAUUUAGCCAUCUAUUAGAUUUGGCCAUAAUUGGAAUCAAAUUGGCCAUAAUUGUAAUGCAAUCCGCCAAUUGAGUUCUAAUUUGGUCAAAAUUAAAUAAAUAUGGCUAAAUAUUAGGUGGGAUUGUAUGUUGUAGAUGGCCUUAAAGGUCCUAGGGCGUUGUGGUAUCGAUAUUCUAAUUAUUUUCAUGUUCAUGAUAUAAAAAUGAGCUAACAAUAGUUGUAUGUGUCUUUUUUUUUAUUUACUUUAUCCUUUGAUUAUUUUGGAUAAAGUUUAAAUCUUUGCUUAAAAUAUGUAUUUAUAAUUUAUUUAAAACUCAUUGUUGUUGGAUAUAAUUAUUUUUAGCAUGUAAAUUUAUUUUCUUUACGUUGAAACGAAUAGUUAAUGUUGAAUGUUUCGUCUUUUCACCUUAUUCUUUGAUUAUUUUGGAUAAAGUUUAGAUUUUUGCUUGAAAAACAUAAUCAUGUCUUGUUUAAACUCAUUAUUGUUGAAUAUGCUUAUUUUUAGCAUGUAAAGUUAUUUUCUUUAUGUUGAAAAGAAUAGUUAAUAUUGAUUGUUUUUCCUUUUGACUUUAUUCUUUGAUUAUUUUGGAUAAAGUUUAGAUCUUUACUUGAAAAGUCAUACCCAUGUCUUGUUUAAACUCAUUGUUGGUAGAUAUGUUUGUUUUUAGAAUGUAAAGUUAUUUUCUUUAUGUUGAAAAGAAUGAUUAAUAUUGAUUGUUUUGCCUUUUGACUUUAUUCUUUGAUUGUCAUGUAUAAAGUUUUUAUCUUUGCUCAAAAGACAAACUCAUGUCUUGUUUUUAUCCACGAUGUUUAUUCCUCUUUUUCGCAUGUUUUCAAAUUUGUCAAAAUGAUGAGAAAGUUCGAUUUUUUAUGGCUAAAUAGAAUUAUUUUGAUAUUUUUGAGUCAUGCAUAGUAUGAUUGUGAAACAAUAUUUUACUUUUAGAUAUGCUAAACUUUAUUCUAAUUUUCUUGCGCCCUUUGGAUUGUUAUAUGUGCUCUUUGUGAGUGUAAAGACUUGAUUCGUGUCUCUCAUUGAUUUAUAAUAUCAAAGACGAAUCAACGCUGUCUUAGAAAUAUAAACCAUAGGUCAUUACACAUUUUUUCUCAUAAAAUUUUGGUUGUAAUUUAGAUGUAUGAAGUUUCGUUAAUGUCGCCUUAAUUGAAAUUUAAAGAUUCUCUUGCUUGAAAAGUUAACCUCUAUUUUUUUGUUGUUAUAUGGAUUAGUAUCUAUGUUUGUUCAAUUUUAGAAGUCAUGAGUAUUUUCCUUGUUGCCUCAUCCCUUUACUUUCGCAAGCUUGCGUUGUUUGUUUCUUGCAUUAAUUCAUUGAAUAUGACCUUCUUCCUUUUACCUUUAUUCAUUCUUGUAUGAACAUAAAUCAUGAGGCAUGUAAGUG